CCGAGUUUACAACUCCCAAACCCACUGUGAACAUACCUUUCUGUUGCUUCGGCGGGACUGCCCCCGGCGCCCGCCGAAGGCCCUAAACUCUCUGUUUUAGACAUGGUUUUUCUGAGUGGCGCAAGCAAAAAAAUAAAUCA
RNAcentral lists this unclassified non-coding RNA (140 nucleotides) under uncultured Nectriaceae. Its description in RNAcentral is "sequence contains ITS1". The record is from RNAcentral. Lineage: Eukaryota; Fungi; Ascomycota; Sordariomycetes; Hypocreales; Nectriaceae.